Molecule: long non-coding RNA, 4181 nt
Organism: Triticum aestivum (bread wheat)
Lineage: Eukaryota; Viridiplantae; Streptophyta; Magnoliopsida; Poales; Poaceae
Exons: 2
Source: RefSeq, a predicted model, not a curated record
UAAAGAAGGAGGGGAUCUACUUGGGAAGAAAGAAGAAAGGAGGAGGGCCAAAGUAAAAAAAGACAGAUCAGGGAGUGGAUCAAAAUCCCUAGCGCUGCUCCAUUCCCAAAUCGGGCCUGGCAUCUCCAUCUCUCCCCCCCUCACCACUUCUUCCACCACUGGCCGUCGUCGCGGCCAGGCCGGCGUGGCGGCGCGCCACCAGCUCCACUGUCCAUCUGUGCCAUCCACCACUCCAUCUCCACCACCGCGCCAUCACUCCACCGCCGCACCUCGCGCGCCCGACCAGACGGGCGCCUGGUCCUCCGCGUGAACGCCCCCAUGCUGCUGCUCUUUCUUUCUUCCUCCCCUGCUGCUUUCUGCUGCUCCUUCUUCACCUAUCUCGCUGCUGCUCCUCCACCUCUCUUCUUCCCUCGCCUCUAGCUGCUGCUCCUAUUCUUCUCUGAAUCCCCCGCUGCUGCUUCUUCUUUCUCUAACCCCCUCUUGCUGAAGCCCUCUCCUCACACCCACUGCUGCUUCUUCGCCUUGGUCCUACUGCUGCUCCUCUCUCCCUGAUUCCCCUACUUCUUCUCUGAAUCCCCUACUUCUGCUGCUCGUCUCCAACUGAACCUGCUGUCUCUGUCUCUGUCUCUCUCUCUCUCUCUCUCUCUCUCUCUCUCUCUCUCUCUGAAAUUUCUAUAACUUAAGUGUACUCUUAAGAAUUGUGUAAUGUUCCGAUUUUUAAAUGCUUGAAAUCUGUGAACGAUUCAGUUUCAUACUUAUAAAUAUUGUAUCACAUAUUUUGCGUUCUCACUAGUUGAAGUGUUCUUGUUGUGUAUUUGUGGUCAGUCAGUCGCCAUAUAUGUUAUCUAACCUUGUGAAUUUAAUCUAGUUUGAAGUUUAUGUGUUUACUCAAGUACUUGUGUUACAAAAAUAUGUGUGUGAGUUUGUGUUGUGAAACAUUUAUAUUCAGCCAUAUAACCGUGAUUCUUCCCUCUGUUCAUGUUUGAUAGUUAUAUAUGUGUCCUUGUCAUGUUACGUUCAUGUCCUUUCACUUCUCUUGUCAUUGAUGUAUGCUCGUAUUAGUAUUUUAACUUCUCAAGCAUUACGAAAAUACCAAAAAGACAAUGAGUAAAAUCUGAAUUUCCCCUUGCUGUUUAUGCUUUCUUUGUCGUCAACCCUGGCUAGUUUAGGUUAUUAUUUUCUUGCAAUACUCUCUUAAAAUUCUGUCGCCUAGCUUUAGCUGAGCAUUGUUGCCGUCGCCUAGUCUCUGUGGAGAACACAACAUUCGUAGUUUUGGGCGUAAAAACCCCACUAUACUUAAAAUCGAUCAUUUUGGCGCCGUUGCCGGGGACUAGCGUCGAGCGAUUAUGUUAGCUAUAGACUAGGUUUAUUUUAGUUCUGUGUUUAAUUAGUCGUGUAUUUCAUUUUCUGUGUUUCUUUUAUAUAUUUUUUCCCUUGCUGUUGCUUUGGCUUAUUAGGAUACUAACGUUCUGACUAGUAUUUACUAUUUAUGAGUGUGCGUAGGAAGUCUGAACUAUUUACAGGUUGAUUGAUGGUUACACUUGGUGGAGAUAUGGCGAUUCUUCGUGAUGUUUGGAUGCCAAGCAGCCAAUGCUAUUUCACAGGGCCACUUUGGCCGUCUUUUGAGGCGGAAAAUUUUGAGCUAAAGCCUGGUCUUAUUGCUUUGGUUCAACAACAUCAGUUUGGAGGGUUGCCUACUGAAGACCCUUAUGAGCACUUGCUCCGAGUCAUGGAGUAUUCAGAGACAGUAAAGUACCUUGGAGUACCUGAAGAUGCUAUCAAGUGCAUGCUGUUCACAUUCUCUCUCCGAGAUGAUGCUCGUGCUUGGUAUCGAUCCUUGCCAUCAAGAUCAUUCGGUUGGAACGAGGUAUCACGAGCUUUCUUAGAUAAAUAUUUCCCACUACACAAGCAGUCCGCAAUUCGAGAUGAGAUCUUCAAUUUCGUUCAGCGUGAAGGCGAGAGCUUGUAUGAUGCUUGGGAGAGAUACAAAGCCUUAUUCAGGAGAUGUCCUAAUCAUGGGCUCGAGAGAUGGUUAGAGCUGCAGAUAUUCUAUAGAGGAUUGACUUCGGACACUCGAGCUUACGUCGAUAUGGCAGCGGGUGGAGCUAUUACAAACAAGACACUUGAUGAAGCUUUUCUGUUGAUUGAGAGCAUAGCUUUCCACCAACUUCAGUGGUACAAUAAGAAGCCCACGUCCGAUUCAUUGGUUUGCUUGCAACAAAUCACUACACCUCAGCCACCAAUUCUUACAUAGAAGCAUGAACCUCUAUCUCAGUAUGACAAGAUCGAGCUUGCAUGGAUUAUCUUUGAUGAUGAUGACACCAUUCUAGUUGACACACACGCUACAGAUCAUAUGGAUACUAGCGUUGGAGAUUCGGUUUUGCAUUGUGAUGAUUCUUCCAUGGAUGAGCCAGAGCUGCAGUUAGUUGCUUUUGAUAUUGAGGAGUCACAUGUAGUUGAUAUUGAUCAUGUGCUUCUAGAGCCAGAUAUGGAGAAGUUCACCUUCGAUGAUGUUAGCUGCAUUGAUUCCUCAACACUUGAGCCUGAGAUGGAGAGCUUCAUGGUUAAUUAUGAUGAGGUGGAUUCAGAUGUUAAGGAGCCAAGCUCUACUAUUUCACUUGUUGACACGAGUCCGGUGGAAAUUUCUACUACCACACCUCACUUGGUAUCUUCAAUUGAGGUAGUCCUGAAGCUUCUUCCUAACUAUCUCAGGUAUGAUCUCAGCUUUCUCGACAAGAUAUGCCAUAUCAUGGAUACUGCUAUGCACCAUGCGAUUUAUUGAUGAUAUCUAUUUAUCAUAUGCUCCAUAGAUAUGCUUAUGUGAUAGGAUACUCUAUUGAUGAAUUAGAGGGCAUUGUCCCUAUCACUUGUAUUGGCUUGUUUGCCGAGUGUUCUUUCAGGUUUAUGCUUGUGCACCAUUCACUGCGGGCUGCCCAAGUUCGAGAUGACAUCCCAUGGGAUCCUGGUGGAUUCAUGGCAUGGUGAUGAGGAGAAGCAAUGAGCACACAUGAGGAAGAGCGAAGCUGGAGCAUCCAUGAGGAAGCAAAGGAGAAGAGCUGCAGUUGGUUAGGUGAUCGAGCGAGUGCUACAUGAUCAAAGCUCGAAAAGGGCGAAAAGGCCCAAAAUCUUUCUAUAAUGGAGAGUGUCAAGAAGUUGUGGUUACUGUAAUUUACGGAGGGACUCAAGCGUGAAGAAAAAGAAGUAAUCAGAUGGGCCAAAACUAAAGAAGGAGGGGAUCUACUUGGGAAGAAAGAAGAAAGGAGGAGGGCCAAAGUAAAAAAAGAGAGAUCAGGGAGGGGAGGGGAUCAAAAUCCCUAGCGCUGCUCCAUUCCCAAAUCGGGCCUGGCAUCUCCAUCUCUCCCCCCCUCACCACUUCUUCCACCACCGGCCGCCGCCGCGGCCAGGCCGGCGUGGCGGCGCGCCACCAGCUCCACUGUCCAUCUGUGCCAUCCACCACUCCAUCUCCACCACCGCGCCAUCACUCCACCGCCGCACCUCGCGCCCCGACCAGACGGGCGCCUGGUCCUCCGCGUGAACGCCCCCAUGCUGCUGCUCUUUCUUUCUUCCUCCCCUGCUGCUUUUUGCUGCUCCUUCUUCACCUAUCUCGCUGCUGCUCCUCCACCUCUCUUCUUCCCUCGCCUCUAGCUGCUGCUCCUAUUCUUCUCUGAAUCCCCCGCUGCUGCUUCUUCUUUCUCUAACCCCCUCUUGCUGAAGCCCUCUCCUCACACCCGCUGCUGCUUCUUCGCCUUUGUCCUACUGCUGCUCCUCUCUCCCUGAUUCCCCUACUUCUUCUUUGAAUCCCCUACUGCCGCUGCUCGUCUCCAACUGAACCUGCUCUCUCUCUCUCUCUCUCUCUCUCUCUCUCUGAAAUUUCUAUAACUUAAGUGUACUGUUCAGAAUUGUGUAAUGUUCCGAUUUUAUAAAUGCUUGCAAUCUGUGAGCGAUUCAGUUUCAUACUUAUAAAUAUUGUAUCACAUAUUGUGCGUUCUCACUAGUUGAAGUGUUCUUGUUGUGUAUUUGUGGUCAGGCAGUCGCCAUACAUGUUAUCUAACCUUGUGAAUUUGUUCUAGUUUGAAGUUUAUGUGUUUACUCAAGUACUUGUGUUACAAAAAUAUGUGUGUGAGUUUGUGUUGUGAAACAUUUAUAUUCAGCCAUAUAACCAUGAUUCUUCCCUCUGUUUA